UCGUCUAAAAGUAGCUCUCCUCUGGUUCCUCCUCUGGUUUGUUCCAGUGCUGAUGGUGCAGCUGUAGACCAGAUCACUGUCACUGUCUGAAAGUAUCAGAGAACUGCUGAUGUUGUAAAGCUGCUGUUCAGUCUGCUGGACUGUGGUUGUGUUCUUGAAGGUCUCUUUGGAUGGAGGUGUGGUGGACCAGGUGAGUUCAGGUUCAGGGUAGAUCCAGUUAGAGCUGCAGGUGAUCCUGUUUCCUUCCUGGACUAUGUUGACUUCAUGGACUGGAGCUGGAA
Long non-coding RNA from Mugil cephalus (flathead mullet), 281 nucleotides. RefSeq lists it as uncharacterized. Lineage: Eukaryota; Metazoa; Chordata; Actinopteri; Mugiliformes; Mugilidae. The record is from RefSeq and is a predicted model, not a curated record. The transcript is spliced from 2 exons.